ACUAACAAGGAUUCCCCUAGUAACUGCGAGUGAAGCGGGAUAAGCUCAAAUUUAAAAUCUGGUGGUCUUUGGCCGCCCGAGUUGUAGUCUGGAGAAGUGCUUUCCGCGCUGGACCGUGUACAAGUCUCUUGGAACAGAGCGUCGUAGAGGGUGAGAAUCCCGUCUUUGACACGGACUACCAGUGCUUUGUGAUGCGCUCUCAAAGAGUCGAGUUGUUUGGGAAUGCAGCUCAAAAUGGGUGGUGAAUUCCAUCUAAAGCUAAAUAUUGGCGAGAGACCGAUAGCGAACAAGUACCGUGAGGGAAAGAUGAAAAGCACUUUGGAAAGAGAGUUAAACAGUACGUGAAAUUGCUGAAAGGGAAACGCUUGAAGUCAGUCGCGUUGUUCAGAACUCAGCCUUGCUUCUGCUUGGUGCAUUUUCUGACUAACGGGCCAGCAUCGAUUCUGACCGCCGGAAAAGGGCCAGAGUAAUGUGGCACCUCCGGGUGUGUUUAUAGACUUUGGUCACAUCGGCGGUCGGGAUCGAGGAAUGCAGCGCGCCGCAAGGCAGGGGUUCGCCCACUUUCGCGCUUAGGAUGCUGGCGUAAUGGCUUUAAACGACCCGUCUUGAAACACGGACCAAGGAGUCUAACAUGCCUGCGAGUGUUUGGGUGGAAAACCCGAGCGCGUAAUGAAAGUGAAAGUUGAGACCUCUGUCGUGGAGGGCAUCGACGCCCGGACCUGACGUUCUCUGAAGGAUCCGCGGUAGAGCAUGUAUGUUGGGACCCGAAAGAUGGUGAACUAUGCCUGAAUAGGGUGAAGCCAGAGGAAACUCUGGUGGAGGCUCGUAGCGAUUCUGACGUGCAAAUCGAUCGUCAAAUUUGGGUAUAGGGGCGAAAGACUAAUCGAACCAUCUAGUAUCUGGUUCCUGCCGAACGUGUCCCUCAGAGAUAGCAGAAACUCAUUAUCAGAUUUAUGUGGUAAAGCGAAUGAUUAGAGGCCUUGGGGUUGAAACAACCUUAACCUAUUCUCAAACUUUAAAUAUGUAAGAACGAGCCGUCGCUUGAUUGGACCGCUCGCGAUUGAAUUCUAUUGGGCCAUUUUUGGUAAGCAAA
Molecule: ribosomal RNA, 1093 nt
Filed under: Perenniporia medulla-panis
Lineage: Eukaryota; Fungi; Basidiomycota; Agaricomycetes; Polyporales; Polyporaceae
Description: LSU rRNA
Rfam family: Eukaryotic large subunit ribosomal RNA
Source: RNAcentral